UUAAAAUAGGAAAAGCAGAACAAUGUUCUCCCGUUAAGGAAUGGCCAGCUUGAGCAAGCUUUCAGCUACAGUUAAACUCUUGCUACCCUUCCAGUUGAGAAAAUGGUGGUCUACCAAAGCACUUGACAACCUGAUUGGCACAUGUGAAAUUUAAAUUCAAAGACUCCUAACGGAAAAGGUCUCCCAAACUGGUGGUUUGACUGAUAAACUGAAAGCAACCCACCGCAUUUAUCACUCUCUGCCUCGACUCGAAACUUCAGAAGACGGUAACAGCAGUGCUCCUUAUGUCCAAGCUACUGGCCAGGCAGGCGCAGAUCAGCAGGCCACACUGCGCAACCUGUUUCUUUGGCGGUACACAUUUGGAAACGGCAGAUAUAGCUCACAAGGGGCAGCCACUCCAUUCGCACCUAUCAAAACAACAGGCAAGGCUGCCACGCUUUCAACUAGAGGAGCAGAGCGGGCGAGAGGCAGCACCACCGUGGGUGUGAAGGGAUGCCAUGCUGCAUCCCGACAAGAUGGGGUGAAGGUAGUCCAGUGUUUGUGGCCAGGUGGCUUCUUCAUUCCAACCUGUUUUUCUCCUCUGUGUCUUAAGAAAGGCUUCUUAAGCAUCAUUUCCCCCUUGAAACUGCUUUUCCUUUUUUUUUUUUCCUCCUUUAUUUUCAGCUUUGGAAAUUUGAUCUCAUGAUAUGGCUAGUGGUGUUAGGUCUCUCACUGAAAUGUCACUUAUUGCCAUCCCCUUUUUUGUGGGCUCCUAAGAGCAUCUUUAUGGUAGAUGUGGUGGAAUUCAGUGACCUAAAUGGUGGCAGCUAACCACAUCAAGAGUUAUCCUAUUGUAUCCAUGUUAUCCUCCAACUGCACCAAGACCUAAGGAGCUUCUGGGACGCUUCAUGCACUGUCUCAGAUGCUCUAAGGCAUAUUAAAUGGCACUAGAUGCAUGGUAUUUUAGUAAAUAUAUUUACCUGGUAUAGCUGAGCAUUUAUUCAUUUAUUUUUUCAGAAGCUGUAUCUGUAGGCUUGCAUUCUAGCUCACUAGCUUUUGCUGUCAGAGGUGGGUCAUGGUCAAUCCCCGACACUGUGUUCCACUACCAAAGGGUUGGGCAAGGGGCAUAAGGAAUUUGGGCACACAGGGGGAAUGUUGUCCCAGCACAUCUCAACAAAAACUCAUGGAAAUAUUUUGAUCUAUAACUACAGAUCUUUUGAUCUAUAAGGUACAGCUGCUACCAUGGCUGGUGGCUUGUCUUGGAUAUGAACCAGCUCCAUGCUGAAGACACCAGAACAAUGCAUGAAGUGCAAUCCCAGUUACUGUGCGGCUCUGUUUCUGUGGAACUGGCUCUGUAAGCAGUGUGUGAGGAAGAGACAUGCAAAAGGGACAUAAGGAUGGAUCAAAAGUAACAAUAAAACUACAUGGAUCUACAAGUAAGAAAGCCGCAGGAGAAUCCCCAUGCAUAGAGGAGUCCUUUGGCGACUUACAGCUGCCAUACUGAUUCUUCUGAAGUCAUGACUUGGAGCCAGCUCAGCUAGACCUCAGCUUUUAGUCCAUAAACUCACAAGAUAGAUGUGCUACAGUAUCCAAGGUCUAAUUAAGAAAAAACAUCCAGUAGAGUGUUAAUAAAAGCCAUAAAAAAGCAAAUAUGCUGCUGUUUUGGUUUUUUUUUUUAAUUGGGAGACGGAUAUUCCAGGAUAUUAAAAAUUGUGCAGUAUAUUUGGCAUCUAUGGCUAAGUAACACACACACACACACAAAUCUGGUAUGGUGAAUGAAUUAAAGAAUAAAAAAGGCCAAGAUUCCUCCCAAGGAUAUGUAACAAACCUCCUGGAACACACGCUUUGAUUGUGACUGUAGAAGAGGCAGGCUAGUGCACCAGGGGAACACUAUGCAGCAGCCUCACGCUAUGCAAUCUCCUAACACGCGAUAUAGCUCUCAGUAAAGCCACUAAGCUUUACUGAGACAAUGUGCUCUUACAUUAUUUCUCCAGCAUGCUGUCUUCAAGUGAACAUCUCCUUUACCUCCUGAUGCAGCAAAAUACAUUAGAGGCACACAGCUGGGGUAAGAGAGUCUGCAGUCACAAACUAGAAAACAGUUGCCUCUCUCAGGUCACAAUCCCUAAAAUUGCUCCUACAUGACUUGGAGGUUUGAGAUAGCCUUAGCCUUAUCUGAAUGUUUUUUGGUUUUGUUUUGUUGGGGUUUUUUAAAUGGAAAAUUUAGAAGUGUUAUGUACACACAUACACACACACGCAUACAUAUAUUAUAAUAGCUGACAAGAAUGAAAGAGUAAAAAAGAAAAGACAUUUCUUCAAUAACUAUGCAGUUUAAAUCCUCAUAUAUAAAAAAACCUCCACCCAAACCUAAACUAAAAUGCCACUCCUCCUUCUCCCAGC
Strigops habroptila (Kakapo) is the source of this 2376-nucleotide long non-coding RNA. RefSeq lists it as uncharacterized. The transcript is spliced from 3 exons. The record is from RefSeq and is a predicted model, not a curated record. Lineage: Eukaryota; Metazoa; Chordata; Aves; Psittaciformes; Psittacidae.